GAUGAACGCUGGCGGCGUGCCUAACACAUGCAAGUCGUACGGAAAGGCCCUUCGGGGUACUCGAGUGGCGGACGGCUGAGUAACGCGUGGGAACGUGCCCUAAAGUGAGGAAUAACUGCCCGAAAGGGUAGCUAAUGCCGCAUAUGGUCUUCGGAUUAAAGGAUUUAUCCGCUUUGGGAGCGGCCCGCGUCGGAUUAGGUAGUUGGUGAGGUAAAGGCUCACCAAGCCGACGAUCCGUAGCUGGUCUGAGAGGAUGAUCAGCCAGACUGGGACUGAGACACGGCCCAG
This 288-nucleotide ribosomal RNA is filed under the name uncultured bacterium. RNAcentral's name for it is "partial 16S ribosomal RNA". It matches the Rfam family "Bacterial small subunit ribosomal RNA", at positions 28 to 334 of the family's 1533-position model. The record is from RNAcentral.